Sarcophilus harrisii (Tasmanian devil) is the source of this 111-nucleotide non-coding RNA. The record is from Rfam. NCBI's taxonomy places the organism in Eukaryota, Metazoa, Chordata, Mammalia, Dasyuromorphia, Dasyuridae.
GUCAGGAUGGCCGAGGGGUCUAAGGCGCCAGACUCAAGCGAGAGCUUACUUCGCACAUCGGAGUGUUCUGGUCUCCGUAUGGAGGCGUGGGUUCGAAUCCCACUCCUGACA